This 229-nucleotide ribosomal RNA is filed under the name uncultured bacterium. RNAcentral's name for it is "partial 16S ribosomal RNA". It matches the Rfam family "Bacterial small subunit ribosomal RNA", at positions 568 to 796 of the family's 1533-position model. The record is from RNAcentral.
UACGUAGGCGGAAAAUUAAGUCAGUGGUGAAAUCCUGCAGCUUAACUGUAGAACUGUCAUUGAUACUGGUUUUCUUGAAUAUAGUUGAGGUAGGCGGAAUGUGUAAUGUAGCGGUGAAAUGCUUAGAUAUUACACAGAACACCGAUUGCGAAGGCAGCUUACUAAGCUAUUAUUGACGCUGAGGUACGAAAGCGUGGGGAGCGAACAGGAUUAGAUACCCUGGUAGUCC